AGAGUUUGAUCAUGGCUCAGGAUGAACGCUGGCGGUGUGCCUAAUACAUGCAAGUCGAGCGGUAAGGUUCUCACAGUUUGCUUAAACGGAGACAGGUCGCGGAAAUUUCGAAGAAAUUUUCGCAUCUAAAACGAAGUGAUGAACUUCGUGCUUGCCACCUACCUACAUCAUAAGUAGAGAGAGGGAAAGUUUAAGCGAAGUGUGAGAAUACACGAGCGGCGGACGGCAGAGUAACACGUAGGAACGUACCCCAAACAGAGGGAUAAGCACCGGAAACGGUGUCUAAUACCGCAUAAUAUCUUCGGAUUAAAGCUUCGGCGGUUUGGGAGCGGCCUGCGCAUGAUUAGCUAGUUGGUAAGGUAAUGGCUUACCAAGGCGACGAUCAUUAGCUGGUCUGAGAGGAUGAUCAGCCUGACUGGAACUGAGAACGGUCCAGACUCCUACGGGAGGCAGCAGUAGGGAAUUUUCCGCAAUGGGCGAAAGCCUGACGGAGCAACACCGCGUGCAGGAGGAAGGCCUUCGGGUUGUAAACUGCUUUUAUCUGUGACGAUUAUGACGGUAGCAGAAGAAUAAGGAUCGGCUAAUUCCGUGCCAGCAGCCGCGGUCAUACGGAAGAUCCGAGCGUUAUCCGGAAUUACUGGGCGUAAAGAGUUGCGUAGGUGGCAUGUAAAGCGAGUAGUGAAAGAUCCCGGCUCAACCGGGGGCACACUAUUCGAACUCACAAGCUAGAGCAUGAGAGAGGUAGAUGGAAUUUCUAGUGUAGGAGUGAAAUCCGUAGAUAUUAGAAGGAACACCGAUGGCGUAGGCAGUCUACUGGCUCAUUGCUGACACUAAGGCACGAAAGCGUGGGGAGCGAACGGGAUUAGAUACCCUAGUAGUCC
This 881-nucleotide ribosomal RNA is filed under the name uncultured bacterium. RNAcentral's name for it is "bacterial SSU rRNA". It matches the Rfam family "Bacterial small subunit ribosomal RNA", at positions 8 to 796 of the family's 1533-position model. The record is from RNAcentral.